GUGGUAAGCGCGGAUGCCUGUAACCCGGAGGUAAUGGGUUCAAGGCUCGUCGCUGCUAC
Molecule: microRNA precursor, 59 nt
Filed under: Ciona intestinalis (vase tunicate)
Lineage: Eukaryota; Metazoa; Chordata; Ascidiacea; Phlebobranchia; Cionidae
Description: miRNA (ENSCING00000018364.1)
Source: RNAcentral